GUGAGGAAAGAGUGUAUAUGGUAGGGAAGGCAAACUCAGUGUUUGAAGACCUUUCAGUCACCUUGCGCCAGCUCCGUAAUCGCCUGUUUCAAGAAAACUCUGUUCUCAGUUCACUCCCCCUCAAUUCUCUGAGUAGGAACAAUGAAGUUGACCUGCUCUUUCUUUCUGAACUGCAAGUGCUACAUGAUAUUUCAAGUUUGCUGUCUCGUCAUAAGCAUCUAGCCAAGGAUCAUUCUCCUGAUUUAUAUUCACUGGAGCUGGCAGGUUUGGAUGAAAUUGGGAAGCGUUACGGGGAAGACUCUGAACAAUUCAGAGAUGCUUCUAAGAUCCUUGUUGACGCUCUGCAAAAGGUAAAUAUCAAUGCGACAUGAGAGGUUGGAGUAUGACCAUUUCACUUUUAGCCUCUUAAUAGAAAAAUCUGCUGUUUCAAACACUGUUGAUUGAACUCUUAUUUGCCUUCUUUGGGGCUCCUCUAAUUAUAUUGGCUAAGGAUGGAGUAGGGUCAAAAAUGUAUAUUGAUAUAUUUCUUCCUAAUGCUAGAAAGAACAGCAUUAGGAAAAGUUAUCUCACACAAAGCUUUACAAAAU
RNAcentral lists this small RNA (587 nucleotides) under Pongo abelii (Sumatran orangutan). RNAcentral's name for it is "retained intron". The record is from RNAcentral. Lineage: Eukaryota; Metazoa; Chordata; Mammalia; Primates; Hominidae.